GACGAACGCUGGCGGCGUGCCUAAUACAUGCAAGUAGAACGCUGAAGGCUGCGCUUGCUUCUCUGUAUGAGUUGCUCACGGGUGAGUAACGCGUAGGUAACCUGCCUGAUAUCGGGGGAUCACGGUUGUAAACGAUAGCUACUACCUCAUAAUCGUAGAUGUUGCAUGACAUUUUCUUAAAAGGUGCAAUUGCAUCACUACCAGAUGUGCCUGCGUUGUCUUAGCUAGUUGGUGAGGUAACGGCUCACCAAGGCGACGAUACAUAGCCGACCGGAGAGGGUGAUCGGUGACACUGGGAAUGAGACACGGGCCAGACUCCAACGGGAGGCAGCAGGAGGGAAUCGGCGGCAAUGGACGGAAGGCGGAACGAGCAACGACGCGUGAGUGAAGAAGGUUGUCGGAUCGUAAAGCGCUGUUGUAAGAGAAGAACGAGGGUGAGAGUGGAAAGGUCACACUGUGACGGUAUCGGACCAGAAAGGGACGGCUAACUACGUG
This 495-nucleotide ribosomal RNA is filed under the name uncultured bacterium. Its description in RNAcentral is "partial 16S ribosomal RNA". It matches the Rfam family "Bacterial small subunit ribosomal RNA", at positions 28 to 507 of the family's 1533-position model. The record is from RNAcentral.